UCAACAGUGAGUUCCGAUGCUCCAACUACAAAUUCAGGGAGCCGACCAGUCGUGAACCCAUCUGCUGCCAAUCCCUCUUACAGUUUUUCGCCAUCAUUUCUCCUGGCUGUACUAGGAGCUACAUUGUUUAAGUACUAUUACUAGUUGAUUAAGCCUUUUAUGUUGUUUUGUAAGAAAUAUUCUUGGGGUCUGGGGGAUUUGAGUGGAUUUUUUUUUUAAUUUUGUGAUUCGUGUUGCUGUAAUUGAUAUUAGAUACUUAUUCUUUGGGUUAGGGGAGUGAUUUUAUUGUUUUUGGAUUGUUCAAAUUAUUCGAGUAUUAUGGUUGAAUUGAUUCACUGAAUAGUAUUAUUGCCUCUUUCGAAUACAUUUAUUGUUCUUGAUG
Molecule: long non-coding RNA, 382 nt
Filed under: Panax ginseng (ginseng)
Lineage: Eukaryota; Viridiplantae; Streptophyta; Magnoliopsida; Apiales; Araliaceae
Description: long non-coding RNA (PGIN_LNC014909)
Source: RNAcentral